CAGGGAAUCUUGCGCAAUGGGCGAAAGCCUGACGCAGCAACGCCGCGUGGGGGAAGAAGGCCUUCGGGUUGUAAACCCCUUUCAGGAGGGAAGAAAAUGACGGUACCUCCAGAAGAAGCACCGGCCAACUACGUGCCAGCAGCCGCGGUAAUACGUAGGGUGCGAGCGUUAUCCGGAAUCAUUGGGCGUAAAGAGCUCGUAGGCGGUUCAACAAGUCGGCUGUGAAAGUCCGGGGCUCAACCCCGGAAUUGCAGUCGAUACUGUUGUGACUUGAGUCCGGUAGAGGAGAAUGGAAUUCCCGGUGUAGCGGUGGAAUGCGCAGAUAUCGGGAGGAACACCAGUAGCGAAGGCGGUUCUCUGGGCCGGCACUGACGCUGAGGAGCGAAAGCGUGGGGAGCAAACAGG
RNAcentral lists this ribosomal RNA (405 nucleotides) under uncultured bacterium. Its description in RNAcentral is "bacterial SSU rRNA". It matches the Rfam family "Bacterial small subunit ribosomal RNA", at positions 355 to 776 of the family's 1533-position model. RNAcentral also lists the same sequence under 1 other name. The record is from RNAcentral.